RNAcentral lists this unclassified non-coding RNA (372 nucleotides) under uncultured fungus. Its description in RNAcentral is "partial contains small subunit ribosomal RNA, internal transcribed spacer 1, and 5.8S ribosomal RNA". The stretch from base 1 to 73 matches the Rfam family "Eukaryotic small subunit ribosomal RNA", at positions 1759 to 1831 of the family's 1831-position model. Lineage: Eukaryota; Fungi. The record is from RNAcentral.
GCAAACUUGGUCAUUUAGAGGAAGUAAAAGUCGUAACAAGGUUUCCGUAGGUGAACCUGCGGAAGGAUCAUUAUUGAAUAUUCUCGAUGGGUUGUAGCUGGCUCCUCGGAGCAUGUGCACGCCUGUCUUGACUCUAUUCAUCCACCUGUGCACUUAUUGUAGUCUCAUUCGAGGGUAGUCGGUCGGCAAGACCGGAUGUGAGGGAUGCAGCGCGAAAGUGCGGCACCUCUCUGGCUCUGGGUGGACUAUGUCUUUAUUCAUAAACCACGUAGUAUGUUGCAGAAUGUAUUCAAUGGGCCUUUGUGCCUAUAAAAACCUUAUACAACUUUCAGCAACGGAUCUCUUGGCUCUCGCAUCGAUGAAGAACGCAGC